ACCAUUGUUUCAACAUGAAGGUUUGUAAUAAAAAUUUGUUUCUAUCAGCAUUGCUUUGCAUUGCUAUUGCAGGAGUUUUGGGUCAAGCUCCUAGUAAUCCUCCUACGUCUACGCCGGCGCCACCCACACCACCGGCUUCUACUCCUCCUCCGACGACUCAACCACCGCCUACACCAACCGCCACUCCGCCACCAGUUUCUACUCCUCUUCCCACUUCAUCACCGCCCCCAGUGACAGCUUCUCCACCCCCAGUUUCAACUCCUCCACCCAGUUCUCCUCCUCCCGCAACUCCACCACCUGCUUCUCCACCUCCUGCAACUCCACCUCCAGCUUCUCCACCUCCUGCAACUCCACCUCCAGCUUCUCCACCUCCCGCCACUCCUCCACCAGCAACCCCCCCACCUGCAACUCCUCCUGCUACCCCACCACCAGCUCCAUUGGCUUCUCCUCCAGCCACAGUCCCAGCUAUCUCUCCAGUACAAACACCAUUGACCUCGCCACCAGCUCCGCCGAC
This 514-nucleotide long non-coding RNA is filed under the name Gossypium barbadense (sea-island cotton). RNAcentral's name for it is "long non-coding RNA (GBAR_LNC002751)". The record is from RNAcentral. Lineage: Eukaryota; Viridiplantae; Streptophyta; Magnoliopsida; Malvales; Malvaceae.